RNAcentral lists this ribosomal RNA (253 nucleotides) under uncultured bacterium. RNAcentral's name for it is "partial 16S ribosomal RNA". It matches the Rfam family "Bacterial small subunit ribosomal RNA", at positions 524 to 776 of the family's 1533-position model. The record is from RNAcentral.
UACGUAGGGUGCAAGCGUUGUCCGGAAUUAUUGGGCGUAAAGAGCUCGUAGGCGGUUUGUCACGUCUGCUGUGAAAACUCGGGGCUUAACUCCGGGCCUGCAGUGGGUACGGGCAGACUAGAGUGCGGUAGGGGAGACUGGAAUUCCUGGUGUAGCGGUGGAAUGCGCAGAUAUCAGGAGGAACACCGAUGGCGAAGGCAGUUCUCUGGGCCGUAACUGACGCUGAGGAGCGAAAGCGUGGGGAGCGAACAGG